GUCAGGUAUGGUGGCGCAUGCCUGUAAUCCCAGCAGCUCAGGAGGCUGAGGUAGGAGUAUCGAAAGUUCAAAGCCAGCCUCAGCAACUUACUGAGGUCCUAAGCAACUCCGCAAGACCCUGUCUCUA
This 127-nucleotide small RNA is filed under the name Marmota monax (woodchuck). The record is from RNAcentral. Lineage: Eukaryota; Metazoa; Chordata; Mammalia; Rodentia; Sciuridae.